RNAcentral lists this ribosomal RNA (253 nucleotides) under uncultured bacterium. Its description in RNAcentral is "partial 16S ribosomal RNA". It matches the Rfam family "Bacterial small subunit ribosomal RNA", at positions 524 to 776 of the family's 1533-position model. The record is from RNAcentral.
UACGGAGGGUGCAAGCGUUAUCCGGAUUUACUGGGUUUAAAGGGUGCGUAGGUGGAUAAUUAAGUCAGUGGUGAAAUCUUCAGGCUUAACCUGGAAACUGCCAUUGAUACUAUUUAUCUUGAAUACUUUGGAGGUAAGCGGAAUAUGUCAUGUAGCGGUGAAAUGCUUAGGUAUGACAUAGAACACCAAUUGCGAAGGCAGCUUACUACACAGUAAUUGACACUGAGGCACGAAAGCGUGGGGAUCAAACAGG